AUUAAUGAGGAAUCUGAAACCACAAUCAAGUGAGACUGAACGACAGGGAUGUACAUUUCCCGCAGUGACUGAGUGAAGAAUGGAGUUCUUCAAAGCAUAUGUAACGAUGUCCUGAGAGCUGUCAUAUUGGUGUAUGGUGAUGCCAAGAUGAUGAAAUGUUUCUCUUUCUAUAUGAAGCAAGAAUUUCAUCUCGCCCUUUCUUGUAAAUGCACAGCUUCUUGUGCUUACAAGAAGGGACAACAACACAUACGUGAAAUAGUGAAAGUAACACAUACGUAAAAUA
Sinocyclocheilus anshuiensis is the source of this 283-nucleotide long non-coding RNA. RefSeq lists it as uncharacterized. The transcript is spliced from 3 exons. NCBI's taxonomy places the organism in Eukaryota, Metazoa, Chordata, Actinopteri, Cypriniformes, Cyprinidae. The record is from RefSeq and is a predicted model, not a curated record.